This 496-nucleotide ribosomal RNA is filed under the name uncultured bacterium. RNAcentral's name for it is "partial 16S ribosomal RNA". It matches the Rfam family "Bacterial small subunit ribosomal RNA", at positions 29 to 507 of the family's 1533-position model. The record is from RNAcentral.
AUGCACGCUGGCGGCGUGCCUAAUACAUGCAAGUCGAGCGAACGGACGAGAAGCUUGCUUCUCUGAUGUUAGCAGCGGACGGGUGAGUAACACGUGGAUAACCUACCUAUAAGACUGGGAUAACUUCGGGAAACCGGAGCUAAUACCGGAUAAUAUUUUGAACCGCAUGGUUCAAAAGUGAAAGACGGUCUUGCUGUCACUUAUAGAUGGAUCCGCGCUGCAUUAGCUAGUUGGUAAGGUAACGGCUUACCAAGGCAACGAUGCAUAGCCGACCUGAGAGGGUGAUCGGCCACACUGGAACUGAGACACGGUCCAGACUCCUACGGGAGGCAGCAGUAGGGAAUCUUCCGCAAUGGGCGAAAGCCUGACGGAGCAACGCCGCGUGAGUGAUGAAGGUCUUCGGAUCGUAAAACUCUGUUAUUAGGGAAGACCAUAUGUGUAAGUAACUGUGCACAUCUUGACGGUACCUAAUCAGAAAGCCACGGCUAACUACGUG